AUUGAACGCUGGCGGCAGGCCUAACACAUGCAAGUCGAGCGGAUGAAGGGAGCUUGCUCCUGGAUUCAGCGGCGGACGGGUGAGUAAUGCCUAGGAAUCUGCCUGGUAGUGGGGGAUAACGUCCGGAAACGGGCGCUAAUACCGCAUACGUCCUGAGGGAGAAAGUGGGGGAUCUUCGGACCUCACGCUAUCAGAUGAGCCUAGGUCGGAUUAGCUAGUUGGUGGGGUAAAGGCCUACCAAGGCGACGAUCCGUAACUGGUCUGAGAGGAGGAUCAGUCACACUGGAACUGAGACACGGUCCAGACUCCUACGGGAGGCAGCAGUGGGGAAUAUUGGACAAUGGGCGAAAGCCUGAUCCAGCCAUGCCGCGUGUGUGAAGAAGGUCUUCGGAUUGUAAAGCACUUUAAGUUGGGAGGAAGGGCAGCAAGUUAAUACCUUGCUGUUUUGACGUUACCAACAGAAUAAGCACCGGCUAACUUCGUG
This 484-nucleotide ribosomal RNA is filed under the name uncultured bacterium. Its description in RNAcentral is "partial 16S ribosomal RNA". It matches the Rfam family "Bacterial small subunit ribosomal RNA", at positions 30 to 507 of the family's 1533-position model. The record is from RNAcentral.